GUUUUAUUUAUUAUUUGUUUUUUACCUUUGGUAUAAGGGUUUUAUGAACUAAAUUUAUAAUAUU
This 64-nucleotide transfer RNA is filed under the name Symphylella sp. YG-2006. Its description in RNAcentral is "tRNA-Tyr". The record is from RNAcentral. Lineage: Eukaryota; Metazoa; Arthropoda; Symphyla; Scolopendrellidae.